Molecule: microRNA precursor, 241 nt
Filed under: Amborella trichopoda
Lineage: Eukaryota; Viridiplantae; Streptophyta; Magnoliopsida; Amborellales; Amborellaceae
Description: MIR8562 microRNA precursor family
Rfam family: MIR8562 microRNA precursor family
Source: Rfam by way of RNAcentral
UUUUUAACAAAUCGGAAUAACCUUAAAUUUGGAGCGUGUGUUCAUAAAAAAUAGAUAAAUCUACGAAAAAUAUCAAAAAAAUAUUUUACAUGAAAAAACUUGACCAAAAUACCCCCAAAAAGUUUUGGGGGUAUUUUGGUUAAAUGUUUUUCGCAAAUUAUUUUUUUUAUACUUUUAUUAGGUGUGUCUCACUAAGAUGUACACACGCUCCAAAUUUCAGGUCAUUCCGAUUUGUUGAAAA